Molecule: ribosomal RNA, 497 nt
Filed under: uncultured bacterium
Lineage: Bacteria
Description: partial 16S ribosomal RNA
Rfam family: Bacterial small subunit ribosomal RNA
Source: RNAcentral
GACGAACGCUGGCGGCGUGCCUAAUACAUGCAAGUUGAGCGCUGAAGGUUGGUACUUGUACCAACUGGAUGAGCAGCGAACGGGUGAGUAACGCGUGGGGAAUCUGCCUUUGAGCGGGGGACAACAUUUGGAAACGAAUGCUAAUACCGCAUAAAAACUUUAAACACAAGUUUUAAGUUUGAAAGAUGCAAUUGCAUCACUCAAAGAUGAUCCCGCGUUGUAUUAGCUAGUUGGUGAGGUAAAGGCUCACCAAGGCGAUGAUACAUAGCCGACCUGAGAGGGUGAUCGGCCACAUUGGGACUGAGACACGGCCCAAACUCCUACGGGAGGAAGCAGUAGGGAAUCUUCGGCAAUGGACGAAAGUCUGACCGAGCAACGCCGCGUGAGUGAAGAAGGUUUUCGGAUCGUAAAACUCUGUUGGUAGAGAAGAAAGUUGGUGAGAGUGGAAAGCUCAUCAAGUGACGGUAACUACCCAGAAAGGGACGGCUAACUACGUG